RNAcentral lists this ribosomal RNA (460 nucleotides) under uncultured bacterium. Its description in RNAcentral is "partial 16S ribosomal RNA". It matches the Rfam family "Bacterial small subunit ribosomal RNA", at positions 338 to 795 of the family's 1533-position model. The record is from RNAcentral.
CCUACGGGUGACAGCAGUGAGGAAUAUUGGUCAAUGGGCGCGAGCCUGAACCAGCCAAGUAGCGUGAAGGAUGACUGUCCUACGGGUUGUAAACUUCUUUUAUAAAGGAAUAAAGUGAGGCACGUGUGCCUCUUUGUAUGUACUUUAUGAAUAAGGAUCGGCUAACUCCGUGCCAGCAGCCGCGGUAAUACGGAGGGUCCGAGCGUUAUCCGGAUUUAUUGGGUUUAAAGGGAGCGUAGAUGGGUUGUUAAGUCAGUUGUGAAAGUUUGCGGCUCAACCGUAAAAUUGCAAUUGAUACUGGCAGUCUUGAGUACAGUUGAGGUAGGCGGAAUUCGAGGUGUAGCGGUGAAAUGCUUAGAUAUCACGAAGAACUCCGAUGGCGAAGGCAGCUUACUAAACUGCCACUGACAUUGAUGCUCGAAAGUGUGGGUAUCAAACAGGAUUAGAUACCCUUGUAGUC